RNAcentral lists this ribosomal RNA (465 nucleotides) under uncultured bacterium. Its description in RNAcentral is "partial 16S ribosomal RNA". It matches the Rfam family "Bacterial small subunit ribosomal RNA", at positions 356 to 812 of the family's 1533-position model. The record is from RNAcentral.
UGGGGAAUUUGGACAAUGGGCGAAAGCCUGAUCCAGCAAUGCCGCGUGUGUGAAGAAGGCCUUCGGGUUGUAAAGCACUUUUGUCCGGAAAGAAAUCCUUGGCUCUAAUACAGUCGGGGGAUGACGGUACCGGAAGAAUAAGCACCGGCUAACUACGUGCCAGCAGCCGCGGUAAUACGUAGGGUGCAAGCGUUAAUCGGAAUUACUGGGCGUAAAGCGUGCGCAGGCGGUUUGCUAAGACCGAUGUGAAAUCCCCGGGCUCAACCUGGGAACUGCAUUGGUGACUGGCAGGCUAGAGUAUGGCAGAGGGGGGUAGAAUUCCACGUGUAGCAGUGAAAUGCGUAGAGAUGUGGAGGAAUACCGAUGGCGAAGGCAGCCCCCUGGGCCAAUACUGACGCUCAUGCACGAAAGCGUGGGGAGCAAACAGGAUUAGAUACCCUGGUAGUCCACGCCCUAAAACGAUGU